Long non-coding RNA from Anas platyrhynchos (mallard), 759 nucleotides. RefSeq lists it as uncharacterized. Lineage: Eukaryota; Metazoa; Chordata; Aves; Anseriformes; Anatidae. The record is from RefSeq and is a predicted model, not a curated record.
GGUGACCUGCGUCACAUGGUGACACUGAGGAUGUUGGAUAAUAUUACACAAGUACUGCACCUCAGCUGCUCCCACUGACAUCUAUGGGACUUUAUGCCUAUGGGAUCAUCAGACAUGUAAAAUUACUCUGACACCAGCAGAGGAGCCCAUUAAAUACAUGACUGGUCAUGUAUAAAUGAACCUCUUUGCUUGGGCAGGGAAGACAACGACAGGGAAGAUGACCCUUAUUAAAGUUUUCUAGUAGGAUUCCUAGGCAUGGGCAGGCUCCUAGCUAUAGCAGUGCUGUCUGAACAGUGGUUCAGAGGGUUGGCGACAAAUUUGAAACGUCUGGAAUCACUGGGGUUUGGAUACGCAGAGAACCAAGUUGGCACAAAUAGCAGAAAAAAAGCCAGAAAACAAAGAAGAUGUAUAGAAGAUAUACGGAAUUCCAGUGAAUUGUAUUUUGGUGUCAGAUUGGUGUAUGCUGUUGAAAAUUAAAUCUCUGAAGGCUUUGGCAGUUUCAAACUCUGUUGAAGUCACUGGGAUCUGAAGAUGCUCACAGCUUUGUAACCCUUUUAACAAACAACACCAUAAUAAUAAUAAUAAUUUUCAAAGGACUACCCACCGAAUACUGUUUGCAUAGCCUUCCAGAAAGAACUACUCUUCUUAAGCAGCAGGUAAGGAAAAUAACUUGGGUAAAAGAUUUGGGGAGGAACAGGAAAGGACAUUUAAUAUAUUUAAUCUUAUUAUACAUUUUUCUACAUUAAAGUCAACAGGCUG